RNAcentral lists this long non-coding RNA (1358 nucleotides) under Anser brachyrhynchus (Pink-footed goose). RNAcentral describes it as "lncRNA (ENSABRG00000017246.1)". The record is from RNAcentral. Lineage: Eukaryota; Metazoa; Chordata; Aves; Anseriformes; Anatidae.
AAAUUUAACACUUUACAGAUUGCCACAAAAAAAAACAGGUGGAAACAUUCAGCAGAGGAGCACAAACUCAAAAGAGCAUCGCAAUCUUGCUAGCAAUUGUAUAGCACCCAUCAUUCUGCUGCCAUUAGCGUCUGCAGCCAUGAGCCCCAGGGGAUGCUUACCAGGGGAUGAAAAACAGUGGAUGGCUUCGGAUUUGUGUUGGACUUACUUUUCCUGGCACCGAGAAAGCCCAAGAGUGUUUGCACCUUCUCAGCUUUGGGUCUGCCAUACAGACUGCAUCUCUUCAUGGGGCUGUGAGGGCUCUCACAUCACAGUCUGGAAAGCAAUGGAGAACAAGGUGUGUGUGAGGACAAACUAGGCAGCCCAUAUCUGGACCCAUGCUGCACCCCUGGUAAAUGCAUGCCUGAUGCCUGUGGAGUCAGCACGUUGCUAUCGCCAGCCCAGGGUGUGGGAGACAUCCCUACAGGUACAUGUCCUUAAGAUUAUCCCUUAUUUAUCUAUCUGUCUAUCUAUCCAUCCAUCCGUCCGUCCUUCUCUAUAUAAAAUAUUUAAGGACAGAAAUAUACCGCUGACAGACAUUUGGUGCUAAGUGUUGUACGCUCCCAUCACACGAUGCACUAAAAGCGUAAUCCCUUAUAUUGAAGAGCACUGGGAGCUACUUAAACUUUUAUGGCUGGACAUGCAGUUAUCUUGUAGUGUGCUUUAGUUGCUGCAAAUUAGGGAGUCAUGAAGUAUGGAGAAGACUCGCUUGCCAAGUAGGCAUCUAAUGCACUGUUCUGAUCAUCCCAGAUACUUGUACUCCACUAAAUAACAUCCAACCUCAAGUCAACGUGAGCUGCUAAGGGGGUCAUUAAAAUUCCUUUUCAGUCCUGAUCAUUAAACAAACCAUACGAGAGGCAGACUCCAUACCUGGAAAAAGUGGCAUGUUAAUGGAGAUGCACCCAGCAUAAUUGCUGUCAUCCAUCACCCCUGCCCUGCUGAUAUUGACAAAGUGCAGCUAAAUAUUUAAAUAAGCCAUUUUUCUUCAGAAGCUGAAGGAUUAGACGCAGCCAAAUUUCUCAGUCUAGUCAGCAAACGAUACAAAUCCAGGGAUUAAACAGGAUUUGCCAGAGUGAAUGAGAGCUGCUCCUGCAUUAUGCUUUAUGAAAAAAAUAUUCUUUGCUGCCAAGACUGUUGCUUGGGGCGAGAAGGGGAGGAGAGACUAUUCUGCUUUUUAUUGAAAGCAAGCAAAAUAGAAUUAGUUCCUCUUUACUCAACACUCUUGAUUUACUUUGAGGGUGUAGCUGAAGGAAAAUGUGGCUUUCCCAAGCCCCAUUAGACACCCACACUUCUAAAAACACUGCAUUUUAAAUGACGAU